This 445-nucleotide ribosomal RNA is filed under the name uncultured bacterium. Its description in RNAcentral is "bacterial SSU rRNA". It matches the Rfam family "Bacterial small subunit ribosomal RNA", at positions 29 to 474 of the family's 1533-position model. The record is from RNAcentral.
AGCGAACGUUUGCGGCGGGCUUAACACAUGCAAGUCGAACGAGAAUCCCUUCGGGGAGGAAAGUGGCGCACGGGUGCGUAACACGUGGAUAACCAACCCAUUGGUUUGGGACAACACCGGGAAACUGGUGCUAAUACCAGAUGUGUCGCAGCUGUCUUCAGGCGGUUGCGAGAAAGGCCCGCAAGGGUCGCCAACGGACGGGUCCGCGUCCCAUCAGCUAGUUGGUGAGGUAAUGGCUCACCAAGGCAAAGACGGGUAGCUGGUCUGAGAGGAUGAUCAGCCACACUGGAACUGAGACACGGUCCAGACUCCUACGGGAGGCAGCAGUGGGGAAUAUUGCGCAAUGGGCGAAAGCCUGACGCAGCCACGCCGCGUGAGCGAUGAAGGUCUUCGGAUCGUAAAGCUCUGUGGGGGGAGAAGAAGAAAGCCGGUGAAGAGCCGGCCC